Molecule: ribosomal RNA, 119 nt
Filed under: Pogona vitticeps (central bearded dragon)
Lineage: Eukaryota; Metazoa; Chordata; Lepidosauria; Squamata; Agamidae
Source: RNAcentral
UCUGUGAGGUCACGCCAUCCUGAACACACCAGUCCCCUCUGCUUUUCAAAGCUAAGCUGGGUUGUACCUGGUUAGUACUUGAAUGGGAGACAAUGAGAAGAUACCAGGGAUCUCCAGGU